This 784-nucleotide ribosomal RNA is filed under the name Acaulospora brasiliensis. Its description in RNAcentral is "eukaryotic LSU rRNA". It matches the Rfam family "Eukaryotic large subunit ribosomal RNA", at positions 1 to 695 of the family's 3401-position model. The record is from RNAcentral. Lineage: Eukaryota; Fungi; Glomeromycota; Glomeromycetes; Diversisporales; Acaulosporaceae.
UACCUCAAGUCAAGUAAGAAUACCCGCUGAACUUAAGCAUAUCAAUAAGCGGAGGAAAAGAAACUAACUAGGAUUCCCUUAGUAACGGCGAGUGAACUGGGAAAAGCUCAAAUUUUAAAUCACCUCGGUGAAUUGUAAUUUGAAGAAAGUGGUUUGACUUUUCAGUUUAAUCUAAAUCCUUUGGGAUGAGGUAUCAUAGAGGGUGAGAAUCCCGUUCUUAAUUAAACCUCGGAUUGCACUAAAUUCACUUUCCAAGAGUCGAGUUGUUUGGGAUUGCAGCUCCAAAUGGGUGGUAAAUUUCACCUAAGGCUAAAUAUAUGCAAGAGACCGAUAGCGAACAAGUACCGUGAGGGAAAGAGUGAAAAGUACUUUGAAAAGAGAGUUAAACAGUACGUGAAAUUGUUGAAAGGGAAACGAUUGAAGUCAGUCAUGCUAGUGAGGAAUCAACUUGGUGGUUUACUUCCUUGUGCAUUUUCUCGCUUGGCAGGUUAGCAUCAAUUUUGGUUGUCAUCAAAGAAUUGGGGGAAUGUGACUUUUCUUCGGUAAAGUGUUAUAGACCCUGAUUGAUGUGGCGACUGGGAUUGAGGUUUGCAGCGGAUGCCUCUUGUGGCUAGUCACCUGUCUUCUGACCGUCACCUCACUUUUGACAGCUUGCUGAUGAUUGCGGGAUUUGGCGACCUAGAAGUUAGAGUGAACAUAAAUUCGCUAAGGAUGCUGACGUAAUGGCUUUAAACGACCCGUCUUGAAACACGGACCAAGGAGUCUAACAUAUGUGCGAGUGUUU